AACUACUCCCAAGUGUUUUGAAAACACUAAUUAGAUCUAUUCUAGUAGUUU
Molecule: transfer RNA, 51 nt
Filed under: Metacrangonyx sp. 5 MDMBR-2012
Lineage: Eukaryota; Metazoa; Arthropoda; Malacostraca; Amphipoda; Metacrangonyctidae
Description: transfer RNA Serine
Source: RNAcentral